UCGUUUCUUCACAUCAGCACUGACAUCCCCACGGUUUCUUUAAAUUGAUCCUUUGUCGCUGCCAUAGCCGCGGGUGCGGUAAAAAACGUCACCGGCUGCAGAAAAGUGGAUUCUUCGUUUGUUUUCUCAUGUAGCGGAGGACCUUGUGUUCCUCCGCACGCUCAUUGGUUGUCCGUCUGCGUCGCAGACGGCGAAAAACUGGGAGGAAGGGAAAGGGUGAAGCGAGGGCGUUUCGUCUGAGCGCCUACGCGCAAGGCAGCGCGGUUGCCCCUCUACCCACUUCUUCCUCUUUUCUUUUUAUAACUUCCCAUUGGUCGGUUCGCCCAGCGGUUCAAGAAGCUGCCGCGGUUGCGCGUGCGAUGUUUUGCCAAACGUGCUCUCUUCAGAGUCCGUCUGCUGCAACCGAGGCGUUGGAAGCUACACGAAGUUUUGGGGAGUUCCCCCUCCUACUCUCUCCUGUUUCCGUUCCUUCUUUUGUUGUUUCUGUUCCUCGCGCCACGCUACGUACGCUGGCGUCGGCGCGAAAAGCAAGAGUGCGCAUGGGGGGAGAAAAUCGCCGCCAUCGUCGGUGCCUGAGGCACGUUCGUCCAAUGAGCCCGCCUCUCUCCGCCUGUCUCCGGACGCUUCCCGUAGACUUUAUAAUUAGAGCCAGCAGCACCAACUCCUCGCGCAACACCAGCGCUGCGCGCGUUGUGAAGAAAGUAAACAAGAGCUUGCCGCCCUCCGGCCAAAGCUAGCUGUUGCCCUUCGCACCAUCCUAGCUCGUGGCAGCUCAUACGCCGUUGAAGCGACGUGAACCGCUUCCCUGCCGCACACUCUCCCCCGCCAUCCUUUGCAUAGCGGGACAAAGUUCAGAGUUCCUCGCGUUGUUGUUAUUGUUGCUGCACACGGCGGCCCCUCCCUGCUGCAGACGCUCCUCCUCGGUGCUUAAGACAGAGCGAAAGAAAAAAAAUGUAUUAGUAAAAAAGGAAAGGCGCCCAAAAAGAGCCAAGCCACCGAUGCUGAGUGCAGAACUUCAGUCAGAAACCGAUCUCGAGGUCGCACGCGCGCAGACGUGAAAAUUGAACUAGCCUCCAAGACACUGCUCUCCCGGUUAUCAUAGAAGAAACGGGGUCCACUUCCAUGUUCGCCGACGCCGAAGUUUCGGCUCUGGACGUGCCCACGGCCUACCAGCGGCAUUAUCAGUCGUCCGGUGCCCCGACUGCUGCAUCGACUGCCUACGAGCGCUGCUACGGGUCGACGGCUGUUCUGAUGCACCGCCCGCCGUAUCCAGAAGUCGCCUCGGCCGCCUUCUACCCGCUGGACGAUGUGCCGCUGCCUUGCUCCACGCUGGCGGAUCAUCGUCGCCACACCCCUUCGUACGCAGUAUAUGACCGCAGUUACGUCGACGCCCCGCCUUCUUCGUACCUGUACAGCGCUGCCGCUGCGGCGUACGACUGCGUAUACGGUGACUGCCCAGAUUGCGUGGAGGCCGGCUACUCGCCUGCGCCUGGCGGUAGCCGGUCGCCCGCCGGAGCGGACGACGAAGACGCCAAGUUCUCGGCUGCCGCCUGCCCCUCGCAGGCGACGUCCGCCAUGUCGCGGCGUGCUACCAGCGUCGCUCGCAAGCGGAGCCUCUCCCAGGCCGAACUGGAACGGCGCAGGUCCUUGGCGAACCACCAGGAACGGCGUCGCAUGCACCGGCUCAACUCGGCGCUGGAUCGACUGCGUAGCACGAUACCGCCGCGCCUGCAGAACGGCAGUCGGCGCCUGUCCAAGAUCAAGACUCUCAAGAUGGCCAUCAACUACAUCGUCGAGCUGCAGACCGUGCUGAGCCCGUCGACUGUCUCUGGAGCUGGCGGCAGUGUCGUCGGUUGUACGCCUGUCUCCCGUUCCUGGAACUGAACGAUGCCCGCAUUUUCUUUGUACACUGCUAUGUACCGACUGCCGUGCAUGCGAGUCAACUACGUGGAACGAGCGCCACGCCGCCGCGACGGUUGUUCAGGCCGGAAGCGAACUGGCAGACAAGCUGGAAGAGAAGCUCGCCCAGAUCGGACAACGUAC
This is an RNA transcript of Dermacentor andersoni, 2043 nucleotides long. It is a transcript of the gene named PRA1 family protein Jwa, with no coding region annotated. NCBI's taxonomy places the organism in Eukaryota, Metazoa, Arthropoda, Arachnida, Ixodida, Ixodidae. The record is from RefSeq and is a predicted model, not a curated record.